RNAcentral lists this long non-coding RNA (328 nucleotides) under Manihot esculenta (cassava). RNAcentral describes it as "long non-coding RNA (MESC_LNC007347)". The record is from RNAcentral. Lineage: Eukaryota; Viridiplantae; Streptophyta; Magnoliopsida; Malpighiales; Euphorbiaceae.
UGUUGAUUUCCACUUUGCGGAGUGUCUCCAAUAUCUCUUUUUCCUCUUUCUCCUUUUGGGACCUUGCAAAUCUCUUUGGGAAGGGAGGAGGUACCUUGAAUUUCUCCAUAGGUUGCUGUUUCUGCCUUUGACUUGAUUAUGCCUGGUCUGUUGAUUUGGGCAAAUUACUUUCUGCCUUCUCUGGUGAAUUGGGCAAAUCACUGCUGGACAGCUUAGUUUGCCCAGCGAUCGGGUCAGUUCCUCCGAGUGAAUUGGGAAAAUCACUGCCCUGAUCACUUUCUGGCAGAAUUUCUUCCAUGGUCUGUUUUUGCAAUUUUUCAGCCCUAUU